This 253-nucleotide ribosomal RNA is filed under the name uncultured bacterium. RNAcentral's name for it is "partial 16S ribosomal RNA". It matches the Rfam family "Bacterial small subunit ribosomal RNA", at positions 524 to 776 of the family's 1533-position model. The record is from RNAcentral.
UACGUAGGGUGCGAGCGUUAAUCGGAAUUACUGGGCGUAAAGCGUGCGCAGGCGGCGCCGCAAGUCAGGCGUGAAAUCCCCGAGCUUAACUUGGGAAUGGCGCUUGAAACUACGGUGCUGGAGUGUGGCAGAGGGAGGUGGAAUUCCCAGUGUAGAGGUGAAAUUCGUAGAUAUUGGGAAGAACACCGAUGGCGAAGGCAGCCAUCUGGACCGACACUGACGCUGAGGCGCGAAAGCGUGGGGAGCAAACAGG